RNAcentral lists this ribosomal RNA (253 nucleotides) under uncultured bacterium. Its description in RNAcentral is "partial 16S ribosomal RNA". It matches the Rfam family "Bacterial small subunit ribosomal RNA", at positions 524 to 776 of the family's 1533-position model. The record is from RNAcentral.
UACAGAGGGGGCAAGCGUUGUUCGGAAUUACUGGGCGUAAAGGGCGCGUAGGCGGCCUGCUAAGUCGAACGUGAAAUCCCUGGGCUCAACCCAGGAACUGCGUCCGAUACUGGUUGGCUUGAAUCUGGGAGAGGGAUGUGGAAUUCCAGGUGUAGCGGUGAAAUGCGUAGAUAUCUGGAGGAACACCGGUGGCGAAGGCGACAUCCUGGACCGGUAUUGACGCUGAGGCGCGAAAGCUAGGGGAGCAAACGGG